CUUUCGAGUUUCAAAAAUGGGUCAUGAUUAAGAUACAACUUACAAUCCAAAGAGGCCAAUUCAAUCGCAUGUAGAUGGUGUAAAUCCUGAAGAUGGACAGAUGCACUCUGAAAAUACACAUUCAACAUUGGGUCAGUAUCUCAGCCCCAUCUUUUGUUAUUAAAAUGGUGUGCUCAAACUGUGCUGAUAGGCUUCCAUCUUCUGUAACAACUGUCCAGUUAUCAUUC
RNAcentral lists this unclassified non-coding RNA (227 nucleotides) under Hevea brasiliensis (rubber tree). The record is from RNAcentral. Lineage: Eukaryota; Viridiplantae; Streptophyta; Magnoliopsida; Malpighiales; Euphorbiaceae.